GACGAACGCUGGCGGCGUGCUUAACACAUGCAAGUCGAACGGAAAGGCCCUGCUUUUGUGGGGUGCUCGAGUGGCGAACGGGUGAGUAACACGUGAGUAACCUGCCCUUGACUUUGGGAUAACUUCAGGAAACUGGGGCUAAUACCGGAUAGGAGCUCCUGCUGCAUGGUGGGGGUUGGAAAGUUUCGGCGGUUGGGGAUGGACUCGCGGCUUAUCAGCUUGUUGGUGGGGUAGUGGCUUACCAAGGCUUUGACGGGUAGCCGGCCUGAGAGGGUGACCGGCCACAUUGGGACUGAGAUACGGCCCAGACUCCUACGGGAGGCAGCAGUGGGGAAUAUUGCACAAUGGGCGGAAGCCUGAUGCAGCAACGCCGCGUGCGGGAUGACGGCCUUCGGGUUGUAAACCGCUUUCGCCUGUGACGAAGCGUGAGUGACGGUAAUGGGUAAAGAAGCACCGGCUAACUACGUGCCAGCAGCCGCGGUGAUACGUAGGGUGCGAGCGUUGUCCGGAUUUAUUGGGCGUAAAGGGCUCGUAGGUGGUUGAUCGCGUCGGAAGUGUAAUCUUGGGGCUUAACCCUGAGCGUGCUUUCGAUACGGGUUGACUUGAGGAAGGUAGGGGAGAAUGGAAUUCCUGGUGGAGCGGUGGAAUGCGCAGAUAUCAGGAGGAACACCAGUGGCGAAGGCGGUUCUCUGGGCCUUUCCUGACGCUGAGGAGCGAAAGCGUGGGGAGCGAACAGGCUUAGGUACCCUGGUAGUCCACGCUGUAAACGGUGGGUACUGGGUGUGGGGUCCAUUCCACGGGUUCCGUGCCGUAGCUAACGCUUUAAGUACCCCGCCUGGGGAGUACGGCCGCAAGGCUAAAACUCAAAGGAAUUGACGGGGCCCCGCACAAGCGGCGGAGCAUGCGGAUUAAUUCGAUGCAACGCGUAGAACCUUACCUGGGUUUGACAUGGAUCGGGAGUGCUCAGAGAUGGGUGUGCCUCUUUUGGGGUCGGUUCACAGGUGGUGCAUGCCUGUCGUCAGCUCGUGUCGUGAGAUGUUGGGUUAAGUCCCGCAACGAGCGCAACCCUUGUUCACUGUUGCCAGCACGUUAUGGUGGGGACUCAGUGGAGACCGCCGGGGUCAACUCGGAGGAAGGUGGGGAUGACGUCAAGUCCUCAUGCCCCUUAUGUCCAGGGCUUCACGCAUGCUACAAUGGCUGGUACAGAGAGUGGCGAGCCUGUGAGGGUGAGCGAAUCUCGGAAAGCCGGUCUCAGUUCGGAUUGGGGUCUGCAACUCGACCUCAUGAAGUCGGAGUCGCUAGUAAUCGCAGAUCAGCAACGCUGCGGUGAAUACGUUCCCGGGGCUUGUACUCACCGCCCGUCA
This 1364-nucleotide ribosomal RNA is filed under the name uncultured organism. Its description in RNAcentral is "16S ribosomal RNA". It matches the Rfam family "Bacterial small subunit ribosomal RNA", at positions 28 to 1399 of the family's 1533-position model. The record is from RNAcentral.